RNAcentral lists this ribosomal RNA (453 nucleotides) under uncultured bacterium. Its description in RNAcentral is "partial 16S ribosomal RNA". It matches the Rfam family "Bacterial small subunit ribosomal RNA", at positions 28 to 523 of the family's 1533-position model. The record is from RNAcentral.
GAUGAACGCUGGCGGUCUGCUCAACACAUGCAAGUCGACCGGAAUCCUUCGGGAUUUCGUGGCGGACGGGUGAGUAACGCGUGAGAAUGUGCCUUCAGGUUCGGGACAACAGCUGGAAACGGCUGCUAAUACCGGAUGCGCCGAGAGGCGAAACCUUUAGUGCCUGAAGAUGAGCUCGCGUCUGAUUAGCGAGUAGGAGUGGUAAUGGCACCCCUAUGCGAAGAUCAGUAGCUGGUCUGAGAGGAUGAUCAGCCACACUUGGACUGAGACACGGCCCAGACUCCUACGGGAGGUAGCAGUGGGGAAUUUUCCGCAAUGGGGGCAAGCCUGACGGAGCAAGACCGCGUGAGGGAAGAAGGUCUGUGGAUUGUAAACCUCUUUUGAUGGGGAAGAAGACAGUGACGGUACCCAUCGAAUCAGCCUCGGCUAACUCCGUGCCAGCCGCCGCGGUAA